GUCCAGGUGGAGGAUGACAAUGUGCUGUUGAUCAGCGGAAAGAGGAAGCGUGAGGAGGAGAAGGAAGGGGCUAAGUAUGCGAGGAUGGAAAGGAGGGUUCGCAAGUUUAUGAGGAGGUUUAAACUGCCUGAAAAUGUUAAUACUGAUGCUAUUUCGGCGGUCUACCAGGAUGGGGUUUUGACGGUCAGUGUGGAAAAAGUGCCACCGCCGGAGCCCAAGAAGC
Molecule: unclassified non-coding RNA, 223 nt
Filed under: Hevea brasiliensis (rubber tree)
Lineage: Eukaryota; Viridiplantae; Streptophyta; Magnoliopsida; Malpighiales; Euphorbiaceae
Source: RNAcentral